RNAcentral lists this ribosomal RNA (254 nucleotides) under uncultured bacterium. Its description in RNAcentral is "partial 16S ribosomal RNA". It matches the Rfam family "Bacterial small subunit ribosomal RNA", at positions 524 to 776 of the family's 1533-position model. The record is from RNAcentral.
UACGGGGGGGGCAAGCGUUGUUCGGAAUUACUGGGCGUAAAGGGCUCGUAGGCGGCCAACUAAGUCAGACGUGAAAUCCCUCGGCUUAACCGGGGAACUGCAUCUGAUACUGGAUGGCUUGAGUUCGGGAGAGGGAUGCAGAAUUCCAGGUGUAGCGGUGAAAUGCGUAGAUAUCUGGAGGAAUACCGGUGGCGAAGGCGGCAUCCUGGACCGGCAUUGACGCUGAGUGAGCGAAAGCCAGGGGAGCAAACGGG